RNAcentral lists this ribosomal RNA (497 nucleotides) under uncultured bacterium. Its description in RNAcentral is "partial 16S ribosomal RNA". It matches the Rfam family "Bacterial small subunit ribosomal RNA", at positions 28 to 507 of the family's 1533-position model. The record is from RNAcentral.
GAUGAACGCUGGCGGCGUGCCUAAUACAUGCAAGUCGAGCGAACAGACGAGGAGCUUGCUCCUCUGACGUUAGCGGCGGACGGGUGAGUAACACGUGGAUAACCUACCUAUAAGACUGGGAUAACUUCGGGAAACCGGAGCUAAUACCGGAUAAUAUAUUGCACCGCAUGGUUCAAUAGUGAAAGACGGUUUUGCUGUCACUUAUAGAUGGAUCCGCGCCGCAUUAGCUAGUUGGUAAGGUAACGGCUUACCAAGGCGACGAUGCGUAGCCGACCUGAGAGGGGGAUCGGCCACACUGGAACUGAGACACGGUCCAGACUCCUACGGGAGGCAGCAGUAGGGAAUCUUCCGCAAUGGGCGAAAGCCUGACGUAGCAACGCCGCGUGAGUGAUGAAGGUCUUCUGAUCGUAAAACUCUGUUAUUAGGGAAGAACAAAUGUGUAAGUAACUAUGCACGUCUUGACGGUACCUAAUCAGAAAGCCACGGCUAACUACGUG